Molecule: transfer RNA, 72 nt
Filed under: Camelus bactrianus (Bactrian camel)
Lineage: Eukaryota; Metazoa; Chordata; Mammalia; Artiodactyla; Camelidae
Also listed under: 2 other names
Rfam family: tRNA
About the family: Transfer RNA (tRNA) molecules are approximately 80 nucleotides in length. Their secondary structure includes four short double-helical elements and three loops (D, anti-codon, and T loops).
Source: Rfam by way of RNAcentral
GAGGGUGUAGCUCAGUGGUAAAGUGCAUGCCUAGCAGGCAUGAGGUCCUGGGUUCAAUCCCCAGCUCCUCCU